AUACGAAAGGUGCAAGCGUUGUUCGGAUUUACUGGGCGUAAAGAGAUCGUAGGUGGUUUAUUAAGUCGGAUGUGAAAUCCCGGGGCUCAACCCCGGAACUGCAUUCGAUACUGGUAGACUAGAGUUUGGGAGGGGUAAGCGGAAUUCCGUGUGUAGCAGUGUAAUGCGUAGAUAUACGGAGGAACACCUGAGGCGAAGGCGGCUUACUGGACCAAUACUGACACUGAGGAUCGAAAGCGUGGGUAGCAAACAGGAUUAGAAACCCUAGUAGUCC
This 274-nucleotide ribosomal RNA is filed under the name uncultured bacterium. RNAcentral's name for it is "partial 16S ribosomal RNA". It matches the Rfam family "Bacterial small subunit ribosomal RNA", at positions 523 to 796 of the family's 1533-position model. The record is from RNAcentral.